GAUGAACGCUGGCGGCGUGCCUAAUACAUGCAAGUCGAGCGAACGGACGAGAAGCUUGCUUCUCUGAUGUUAGCGGCGGACGGGUGAGUAACACGUGGAUAACCUACCUAUAAGACUGGGAUAACUUCGGGAAACCGGAGCUAAUACCGGAUGAUAUUUUGAACCGCAUGGUUCAAAAGUGAAAGACGGUCUUGCUGUCACUUAUAGAUGGAUCCGCGCUGCAUUAGCUAGUUGGUAAGGUAACGGCUUACCAAGGCAACGAUGCAUAGCCGACCUGAGAGGGUGAUCGGCCACACUGGAACUGAGACACGGUCCAGACUCCUACGGGAGGCAGCAGUAGGGAAUCUUCCGCAAUGGGCGAAAGCCUGACGGAGCAACGCCGCGUGAGUGAUGAAGGUCUUCGGAUCUUAAAACUCUGUUAUUAGGGAAGAACAUAUGUGUAAGUAACUGUGCACAUCUUGACGGUACCUAAUCAGAAAGCCACGGCUAACUACGUG
This 497-nucleotide ribosomal RNA is filed under the name uncultured bacterium. Its description in RNAcentral is "partial 16S ribosomal RNA". It matches the Rfam family "Bacterial small subunit ribosomal RNA", at positions 28 to 507 of the family's 1533-position model. The record is from RNAcentral.